RNAcentral lists this ribosomal RNA (253 nucleotides) under uncultured bacterium. RNAcentral describes it as "partial 16S ribosomal RNA". It matches the Rfam family "Bacterial small subunit ribosomal RNA", at positions 524 to 776 of the family's 1533-position model. The record is from RNAcentral.
UACAGAGGUCUCAAGCGUUGUUCGGAUUCAUUGGGCGUAAAGGGUGCGUAGGCGGUGCGGUAAGUCAGGUGUGAAAUCCCGGGGCUCAACUCCAGAACUGCCCUUGAUACUGGCGGUCUCGAGUCCGGGAGAGGUGAGUGGAACUGCGAGUGUAGAGGUGAAAUUCGUAGAUAUUCGCAAGAACACCAGUGGCGAAGGCGGCUCACUGGCCCGGUACUGACGCUGAGGUGCGAAAGCGUGGGGAGCAAACAGG